ACACACCGACACCAGUGACAUAUCAAGCGCCCAACGGAGCAGACUUUGAGUGUUUGUUGACUGGUGACAAAAUGGUGCCGAGGUACUCACAAGACUGUCUGGAUAUUUUUCUUGAAGAGACUUGAACCUCUGGGAGUGAAGAUCUUAUGUCCAGAAAAGUUCAAAGAUGGAGAAAAUAUUAUUGUCUGCCUGAUCAACAGUACAGCUGUAAAGGAAGCAGACUGCUCAUCAUCACAGCCUUUCGUGACAUUUGAGAAAACACAAAAUUCUUCUACACUAACUAAGUGCUACACACCAAGCUUCAAUUCUUCAACAUGCAGUCCUACUCACGAGGAAGACACUAAUUGCUGGUGUAACAAGUCAGAUGGAGAUAUCUUUAAUUACACAUUUGUUUACAAUGCCAGUCGCUCCCAAGAUGUAGGAGCUCAGCUGUGGUGCAAAGUUUGUCCAUCGCCAAAUCAUCAUUUGGAUGAAGAAAUAAGCGAGAGCUGCAAAAAUCUACAGUUUGAAGUAUUGUCUGACAAGGAUUCUCUGAGUGGAAGAGAUUCCCAGCACCAACCAGCCAACAGUAGAGCAGCAGCUGACCCAGUUUUCCCUACAUUCAUUCUGAUGACGAUGCUAUUUUUAGCCUGGGUGAUCCACUAAUUGUUUACUCGUCUGUUUAUAUUUUGAAUAUGUGUGUGUAAAUUACGUCAUGUGACCUCCGGGUACUACAUCACUGCAUUCUUCAUCUGCUUCUUGGACUUUCGUGAAUCUAUGUCUCAAGGAACUCAUAAGGGACACCACUCUUUCCUUAAAGUGCCAAGAGCAACUUAUCUCCCCCUUCCAGAAUGCCUGCUUGGAUUACUUCCUCCCAUUUUCUAUUACUGCUUUUAUGAGAUAUGCUGAGGACGGUUCAUUUGUUGGAAAGAAUAGAAAGAAAUGGUACUAAUUUAUUUGUACAUGCGCAUGCUUGCGUAAAUGCGUAGAAGAUCGUAGUCUAGUUGUAGGAGUUAACCUGCCAUCAAGCAAGUGGACACCGUCCUACUGCACAUCCUACCCCAGGAAAUCACCGGAACAUGUGCUACAAUAUUGUGCUCUCACCUGUCUGCUGCUUACAAACUGCUCGGUCCCAUCUAUUGGUCAUGAAGCCCACAACACUUGGGUUUGUUCUACACGUCUUCUGGACUGUUACUUUCUUAACCAAAAGACAAGGUGUGUCAAAAUGCAAGACAAAGUACAAUGCUGCCUUUCCUCAUUCCUCUUCCACAUGGUAUUUUUGUAAUAUAUACAUUAUUUUCAAACACAAAAGUUUACUACCAGCGAACGAUCGUCGAAUGUACUCUUUCCAUCUUACCAUCAUUUUGUAUCUUACUAUCAUCUUAGAAACCCUUCCCAAGCAUGUUCUAUGGUACUUUGGAUAAGAAAACAUGUAAAGUAUUAAGGCACACCCACACGUGGUUUUAUUGCAAUAACUCUUGCCAAAAUACAGUUUAAACUGCUUUAUCACUCAUCUCACUCCCUCAGUCCUUCUCUCAGUCUAUCAUUUUCAACUUCAUGUGUAGUCGUUGCAGAGACGUUUUAUUCGCCUGAAGAGGAAUUUCAAUCAGAGAUGGAGAGCUUAAUUUUGGUUAAUU
Molecule: long non-coding RNA, 1616 nt
Filed under: Pomacea canaliculata
Lineage: Eukaryota; Metazoa; Mollusca; Gastropoda; Architaenioglossa; Ampullariidae
Description: uncharacterized LOC112568603
Source: RNAcentral